GACGAACCGUGCGAACGUUGUUCGGAAUCACUGGGCUUAAAGGGCGCGUAGGCGGGCUGGUAAGUCAGGGGUGAAAGCCCACGGCCCAACCGUGGAAGUGCCUUUGAUACUGCCAGUCUCGAGGGAGGUAGGGGCGUGCGGAACUUCCGGUGGAGCGGUGAAAUGCGUAGAUAUCGGAAGGAACACCGGUGGCGAAAGCGGCGCGCUGGACCUCUUCUGACGCUGAGGCGCGAAAGCCAGGGGAGCAAACGGG
Molecule: ribosomal RNA, 253 nt
Filed under: uncultured bacterium
Lineage: Bacteria
Description: partial 16S ribosomal RNA
Rfam family: Bacterial small subunit ribosomal RNA
Source: RNAcentral